Molecule: ribosomal RNA, 496 nt
Filed under: uncultured bacterium
Lineage: Bacteria
Description: partial 16S ribosomal RNA
Rfam family: Bacterial small subunit ribosomal RNA
Source: RNAcentral
GACGAACGCUGGCGGCGUGCCUAAUACAUGCAAGUAGAACGCUGAAGAGAGGAGCUUGCUCUUCUUGGAUGAGUUGCGAACGGGUGAGUAACGCGUAGGUAACCUGCCUUGUAGCGGGGGAUAACUAUUGGAAACGAUAGCUAAUACCGCAUAACAAUAGGUGACACAUGUCAUUUAUUUGAAAGGGGCAGUUGCUCCACUACAAGAUGGACCUGCGUUGUAUUAGCUAGUAGGUGAGGUAACGGCUCACCUAGGCGACGAUACAUAGCCGACCUGAGAGGGUGAUCGGCCACACUGGGACUGAGACACGGCCCAGACUCCUACGGGAGGCAGCAGUAGGGAAUCUUCGGCAAUGGGGGCAACCCUGACCGAGCAACGCCGCGUGAGUGAAGAAGGUUUUCGGAUCGUAAAGCUCUGUUGUAAGUCAAGAACGAGUGUGAGAGUGGAAAGUUCACACUGUGACGGUAGCUUACCAGAAAGGGACGGCUAACUACGU